RNAcentral lists this ribosomal RNA (406 nucleotides) under uncultured bacterium. RNAcentral describes it as "partial 16S ribosomal RNA". It matches the Rfam family "Bacterial small subunit ribosomal RNA", at positions 29 to 526 of the family's 1533-position model. The record is from RNAcentral.
AUUGAACGCUGGCGGCAGGCCUAACACAUGCAAGUCGAACGAGUGGCGGACGGGUGAGUAAUGUCUGGGAAACUGCCUGCUGGAGGGGGAUAACUACUGGAAACGGUAGCUAAUACCGCAUACCAUCGGAUGUGCCCAGAGGGGAUUAGCUAGUUGGUGGGGUAAAGGCUGACCUAGGCGACGAUCCCUAGCUGGUCUGAGAGGAGGACCAGCCAGACUGGAACGGAGACACGGUCCAGACGCCUAAGGGGGGCAGCAGUGGGGAAUAUGGCACAAUGGGCGCAAGGCGGGUGCAGCCAUGCCGCGUGUAUGAAGAAGGCCUUCGGGUUGUAAAGUACUUUCAGCGGGGAGGCGUUACCCGCAGAAGAAGCACCGGCUAACUACGUGCCAGCAGCCGCGGUAAUUC